RNAcentral lists this ribosomal RNA (362 nucleotides) under Oroperipatus sp. MCZ 43392. Its description in RNAcentral is "partial 16S ribosomal RNA". The stretch from base 237 to 362 matches the Rfam family "Bacterial large subunit ribosomal RNA", at positions 2473 to 2598 of the family's 2925-position model. Lineage: Eukaryota; Metazoa; Onychophora; Udeonychophora; Euonychophora; Peripatidae. The record is from RNAcentral.
UCUUAUAAAUUAAGACUUGAAUGAAUGGUAUUAUGAAUUAAAACUUUUUUAUAUAAAAAAAUAAAAUUAAUUUUUUUAGUGAAGAAACUAAAAUAUUGAUGUAAGACGAGAAGACCCUAUAAGUUUUAUAUAUACUGUAUAUUUUAUUGGGGUAAUAAAAGAAAAAUGUUUCUUUAAAAAUAUUUAAUGAUAAUUUUUGAUCUUAUAAUAUAAAUUAGAAGAAAAAUUACUUUAGGGAUAACAGCAUAAUAUUUUUUGAGAGCUCUUAUCGACAAAAAUGUUUGUGACCUCGAUGUUGGAUUAAAAAAGUUAUAUAAGUGAAGAUAUUAUAAUAAUUAGUCUGUUCGACUAUUAAAAUUUUA